Molecule: ribosomal RNA, 893 nt
Filed under: Streptomyces sp. H1BS7_pA
Lineage: Bacteria; Bacillati; Actinomycetota; Actinomycetes; Kitasatosporales; Streptomycetaceae
Description: bacterial SSU rRNA
Rfam family: Bacterial small subunit ribosomal RNA
Source: RNAcentral
AGAGUUUGAUCCUGGCUCAGGAUGAACGCUGGCGGCGUGCUUAACACAUGCAAGUCGAACGAUGAAGCCUUUCGGGGUGGAUUAGUGGCGAACGGGUGAGUAACACGUGGGCAAUCUGCCCUUCACUCUGGGACAAGCCCUGGAAACGGGGUCUAAUACCGGAUAAUACUUUCUCCUGCAUGGGAGAGGGUUGAAAGCUCCGGCGGUGAAGGAUGAGCCCGCGGCCUAUCAGCUUGUUGGUGGGGUGAUGGCCUACCAAGGCGACGACGGGUAGCCGGCCUGAGAGGGCGACCGGCCACACUGGGACUGAGACACGGCCCAGACUCCUACGGGAGGCAGCAGUGGGGAAUAUUGCACAAUGGGCGGAAGCCUGAUGCAGCGACGCCGCGUGAGGGAUGACGGCCUUCGGGUUGUAAACCUCUUUCAGCAGGGAAGAAGCGUGAGUGACGGUACCUGCAGAAGAAGCGCCGGCUAACUACGUGCCAGCAGCCGCGGUAAUACGUAGGGCGCAAGCGUUGUCCGGAAUUAUUGGGCGUAAAGAGCUCGUAGGCGGCUUGUCGCGUCGGAUGUGAAAGCCCGGGGCUUAACCCCGGGUCUGCAUUCGAUACGGGCAGGCUAGAGUGUGGUAGGGGAGAUCGGAAUUCCUGGUGUAGCGGUGAAAUGCGCAGAUAUCAGGAGGAACACCGGUGGCGAAGGCGGAUCUCUGGGCCAUUACUGACGCUGAGGAGCGAAAGCGUGGGGAGCGAACAGGAUUAGAUACCCUGGUAGUCCACGCCGUAAACGUUGGGAACUAGGUGUUGGCGACAUUCCACGUCGUCGGUGCCGCAGCUAACGCAUUAAGUUCCCCGCCUGGGGAGUACGGCCGCAAGGCUAAAACUCAAAGGAAUUGACGG